GAGUUUGAUCAUGGCUCAGAUUGAACGCUGGCGGCAUGCCUUACACAUGCAAGUCGAACGGUAACGCGGGGCAACCUGGCGACGAGUGGCGAACGGGUGAGUAAUGCAUCGGAACGUGCCUGGUAGUGGGGGAUAACUGCUCGAAAGAGCAGCUAAUACCGCAUACGACCUGAGGGUGAAAGGGGGGAUCGCAAGACCUCUCGCUAUCAGAGCGGCCGAUGUCGGAUUAGCUAGUUGGUGGGGUAAAGGCCCACCAAGGCAACGAUCCGUAGCUGGUCUGAGAGGACGACCAGCCACACUGGGACUGAGACACGGCCCAGACUCCUACGGGAGGCAGCAGUGGGGAAUUUUGGACAAUGGACGCAAGUCUGAUCCAGCCAUGCCGCGUGCGGGAAGAAGGCCUCGG
RNAcentral lists this ribosomal RNA (406 nucleotides) under uncultured beta proteobacterium. RNAcentral describes it as "bacterial SSU rRNA". It matches the Rfam family "Bacterial small subunit ribosomal RNA", at positions 9 to 420 of the family's 1533-position model. The record is from RNAcentral. Lineage: Bacteria; Pseudomonadati; Pseudomonadota; Betaproteobacteria.